Molecule: ribosomal RNA, 253 nt
Filed under: uncultured bacterium
Lineage: Bacteria
Description: partial 16S ribosomal RNA
Rfam family: Bacterial small subunit ribosomal RNA
Source: RNAcentral
UACGUAGGCAGCGAGCGUUGUUCGGAGUUACUGGGCGUAAAGGGUGCGUAGGCGGUUGUUUAAGUUUGGUGUGAAAUCUCCCGGCUCAACUGGGAGGGUGCGCCGAAUACUGAAUGACUAGAGUGCGGGAGAGGAGAGUGGAAUUCCUGGUGUAGCGGUGAAAUGCGUAGAUAUCAGGAGGAACACCGGUGGUGGAGACGGCUCUCUGGACCGUAACUGACGCUGAGGCACGAAAGCGUGGGUAGCAAACAGG